Molecule: unclassified non-coding RNA, 147 nt
Filed under: fungal sp.
Lineage: Eukaryota; Fungi
Description: partial internal transcribed spacer region
Rfam family: Eukaryotic small subunit ribosomal RNA (bases 1-46)
Source: RNAcentral
AAGUCGUAACAAGGUUUCCGUAGGUGAACCUGCGGAAGGAUCAUUGCAAAAAGAGUGAGAGAUAGUUGUUGUAAUGUGCAGAAAUAGAUUUAUUGACAAUUCUUUUACAAAUUUUUACAACUCUCCACAAUGGAUCUCUGGGCUCUU